Long non-coding RNA from Boleophthalmus pectinirostris (great blue-spotted mudskipper), 1374 nucleotides. RefSeq lists it as uncharacterized. The transcript has 3 exons. NCBI's taxonomy places the organism in Eukaryota, Metazoa, Chordata, Actinopteri, Gobiiformes, Gobiidae. The record is from RefSeq and is a predicted model, not a curated record.
UUAAUGAACUUUUUAUGUUUCCUAUUUUAACACCCUUAGCCGAGCCUCAAAACUAACGUUACAUAAAUCAUAGUCAAAACUUCUCUUACAGAUAUUUUUAACAUGCAAUAUUCAUUUUUCAGCUGAAGCAAUCGGGUAAAUUUGUCCCUCUACCUUAGGCCUAUGUUGGGUAGAGGUCCACUGCUGACCCCUUGGUGUGUUGACAAAAACUUUUGGCAGGAGUAAACAGUGUAUGUGGGGUAGCAACAUGUUAGGAUUCUUCUGUGACUCACACCACUGAUGCCCCGUCUCCUAGCAGCGACGUAUCUCUAACCUUGACGUUUGGCACAGAUUCCCCAUCUGCCUGCACUCUUUUGCCAACUUUAUUGUUUUUAUUUUGUGAUGACAGUACAUUACCCGUUUGUAUGUUAACAUCAGUCUGUAACAGUGGUAAAAAUCUGUUUGUUAGCUUUGUUUUUGGGUGAUAUAACGAUAUUAGUAUUGUCUUUUAUCACUCGCUGCGCUGGCUUAGUAUUUUGUUCUGUACCAAAUUUUGAAAAAGACACAGUAUCACUCAAGUUUAGUGUAAUCUUGUAAUGCCAAUACAGUUGACUUCAUUAUGUAACCCAGGUCUUAAAAUCGUUCCUAACUGCCUCAAAUAAAAUAUAUAUUUAUUUAUAUUUUCUACCUGUACGUAACCGCAUAUAGUCACGUGCCGCUACGCACACACGGCGUGCGAUCCGCCAAUCAAAUCGCUCGCAGCGCCCAAUACAAGCCUCCUGUGCCUGCUCUCCCUCAUUCAGGAGUUGGGGAGAGGAGCCGCAGGACUGCUGCACAGAGGUCUCAUUACCACCGCAGAGGACGUGUUCUAGCCGCGCAAUCAAUUCACAGUGGGAUUGGCCAGGUGUGCCCCAGUGGGUGCAAAACCCCCCCUUCGAUGGCGAGCUAGAACAGCCCACGAACCCACGUGAACCAUAUCAUCGUUACCAUCACUACCAUCAUCCCCUUCUGCUGGUCUGGUAGGAGGCUGUACAGCCAGUCGCUCCCCACCCUGUUUCCAUUCACUACUCGCUACUCCUACUGUUUUGCGCUUGAGGACAAUUCACAUUCCCGGUCAAAAAAAUUCUGGACUUUACAUAUUCAUUACUACCCCGUGGAAAGCGAGAUAGUGACUCUGUGUACUGCUAUUGCAGUUAAGGUGUUGGAGAAAAUAUCACUGGACUGUAUUGGUCAAACGUUUUCUUUUCAUAUGGUUACACAUUCAAGAAAUUGUAAUUGUACCGCAAUAUUACUGGUAUCAAGCUUGAUUCCCGAAUCUGCAAAAUUGUAAAUAUUGUUUUUUUUGUUAUUUACUAUUAUCACUGUAAAUACAUGGCACCAGCCACUAAACCAUAA